Molecule: long non-coding RNA, 2624 nt
Organism: Phycodurus eques (leafy seadragon)
Lineage: Eukaryota; Metazoa; Chordata; Actinopteri; Syngnathiformes; Syngnathidae
Exons: 5
Source: RefSeq, a predicted model, not a curated record
GAAGGAGGAAACCGCCGCCGAGAGCCGCUAGCUUCCCCGUCGACGUCCAGACGAGCCCAGCUGUGCUGCUAAGCUAACCGCUGCUAGCCUGCAGCUGGACGGUAAACGUGUCAAAGAAUCCUCCUCGAGCCGACCAUGUCCCCUGGGGAGGGACGCUAUUAUCGAAGGCUAAUUUUGAAGCUAUGACAAUAACUCGCAUUGAUGUCCGGUGCGAAAGUACGCGCUCCUUUCUUCUAACCACUUGAACCUUUGACGACUAAUGUUGUAAUAAAGAGCUCACGACGUUGCCGUAUCACGGCAGGUGCAUGGCAAAAACGUUCGAAGAGGGCAAAAACAGCUGUGAUAGGGAGACUGGAAAUUACAAAUGGACACGCUGUUUCAAUGUACAAUGAGAUGAAAUAUGCUCAGCUUUGAUUUAUACCGCGCUCUGGCAAGUAUAAAGGGUUGUUUGCCACAGCGUCGAAAAGAAUGCGGCACAGAGCCCAUUUUUGCUUACAUUCUAUUCUUAUGAAGAACGACGACGACAACAACAAAGUUCAUUAUUAUAAAUAAUUUUCUUAGUAGAAUACUUAUGUAUUUCAUACAAAUCUUUGAAAUCUAAGGUACUGUAUGUUUUUUAAAAAUAUUAAAUAUAUAAAAAGCAUAAAUGGAAAUGCAAUUAAUCCGUUCCAGCACCACCCAAAAAUAAAUAUAUUUUCAUAAGACAUAAAUUCACUCAGGACUGUAUAAAAACACACAGCAAUAACAUUUGCUCUCGACAACCUGUAAACAGGACAAACGCAAGCACAAAACGCGACUACGUCUAACAUACAGGGUGAUUGAAAAAUAACUCCCUAUUUUAAAAUAUUUAUAAUUUAUUCAUAUGUUAAAAAAAGUAAAUAGUUAAAUAUCAGACACAGAACCUUAAAAAUCUACUUAAGUACAGUCAUGAAGUAUUUGUACUUCAUGACUUCCCAGUACUGACAGUGACAAAGAAAAGCCUUAGCGGAGUCCAACCCUCACCGGGAACAAAUGAGACUUGCUGGCAUCGCAGACCCAACUCUGACACCAGUCGUACAGGGACCGAACGGUCCGUAUGGGGGUCCGGUACUCCAUACUACCAGAUGAUCCCCACAAGACUCACCAGGGAAAAAGCUCAAAAACCUUCUCUAAAAGUCAACAAAGCACAUGGUUGGGCGAACUUCCAUGCACCGUCUCGGAUCCUCCUGAGGGCCCAAGGCCAGGGCCAGGACCAAAACCCCAUUGCUCUUCUAAAAUCUGAGGUUGAACUUCCUGACAGACCCUUCUCUUCAGAAUCACUGACCAGAGAGGCUCAAGAGUGUGAAACACUCUCCAUCAGUCUUCCACCAUUUUUAUUACAUUUGGCACAAACUAUAUCAGAGAAAAGUACAGUACCAUUUGCUUGCAGGUUUUGAAAGCUUUAUUUAACACAUCAAAAUGGCAAAAUAUCAGGACUCUUAUACAGAGAGUUGCUUAAAUAAAAAGCAUGAUUAACCAUAUCUAGAAAUACAAUAAGCAGUGGUUGCCUUUUUUUCUUCAUAUUACAGAGGUUACAUUUAAAUAAACAAAUGAACAAUAAGCAAACAGCGAACACAGUUUGAAUUUGGCAUCGUCACAAUCAUAAACAGGGAAAGUGUUUAUACAAUCAUUUCUGAAAAGUGCUUCUUUGCUUGAGAAAUUUCCAAUUGUUUGAUGAAAUUUGGGGCCAAAAAAAAGCCCAGAUCAUUAGUAAAUCUUUAUGGCACUAAGUCGGGAUGCUAGAAAUGGUUACAAACUGUACAUUGUGCUGUAUAAUAGUUAGUUUUAAAUCAAAUGCAGUAAUCACACACAGCACAAUGCAACUUUUAAAAUCACCCGUGUGCCUUGGAGAGUUGCAUGAUAUCUCAGUUGUAUUUUGAAAUCUUUGACAAAUGUAGAACCUGUGAUGUUUGCUGGGUGGAGAAGUAAGGCAGUCAGCACAGCAGGUAGGAUUUUUUUGUUUUUGCUUUCAAAUCAAGACGGUUGGUGAAAAAAAAAAAAGAUUGCUACCAGAGUGAAUUCUAAUUGUCUUGAGGGUCCCUUGUCAUUUUCACAGUGAGAAUUUUCCCAGUGUAUGCAGCAUACCUUGCCAGUUAAAAAGGCCGACUUCCACUUGUGUAUUCAACACUUCAGAGGAGGCCGUCUUGCUCGAAAACCGAGGGCAGGAGCGAGAAGUCGAAAGAUACCACAUCUGAAAGGGAGGAGAAAGCGGCACCUGCGUGCUGAACCACGACAAGGAGGCGCAGGUCCAUCCCAUCAACUUCCACUUUUCUGGGGUCAGGUAGUAGGGGAAGCAGCUUUAGCAGGGAAGCCCAGACGUUUGCUUUUUAGCAGAGUUUUUCCACCGAUGAUGACUUGGCAGCAAGGCUAGCCGAAGAUCCGCCACUUUCAAGCUGCUGUCUAAAACUCUAUCAUGUCAAAGCCCAAAGGGCUGUCCCCGGUCGUCAUGGUAGCGGAAGCCGUACUCACCAUUGGCCAAGCAGCGUAUGGGGCGGAGUGAGGACUGGUUAGAAACCGGCUGAUUACAGCAGGACAAUAAAUAAAAGAAACAAAAAUAAAUCACAGCUCAGCAGAACAACACAAUCUGACUGAGGAUGAUCAAGGAC